AGAAGGAUGGUCUUGUGGUGAAGGCAUAUGCCUGGAGUGCAAAAGAUCUGGGGUCAAUUUCCAGUCCUGUUA
Molecule: transfer RNA, 72 nt
Filed under: Chelonia mydas (Green sea turtle)
Lineage: Eukaryota; Metazoa; Chordata; Testudines; Cheloniidae
Rfam family: tRNA
About the family: Transfer RNA (tRNA) molecules are approximately 80 nucleotides in length.
Source: Rfam by way of RNAcentral